GGGAGAUUUUUUUGUGAAGAUGCGCAGCUAUCAUGCAGUCGAGCGAAUGACGAGAAGCUUGCUUCUCUGAUUUAGCGGCGGACGGGUGAGUAACACGUGGGCAACCUGCCCUACAGAUCGGGAUAACUCAGGGAAACCUGGGCUAAUACCGGAUAAUCCUUCGAAUCACAUGUUUUGAAGUUGAAAGGCGCUUCGGCGUCACUGUAGGAUGGGCCCGCGGUGCAUUAGCUAGUUGGUGGGGUAACGGCCUACCAAGGCAACGAUGCAUAGCCGACCUGAGAGGGUGAUCGGCCACAUUGGGACUGAGACACGGCCCAAACUCCUACGGGAGGCAGCAGUAGGGAAUCUUCCACAAUGGACGAAAGUCUGAUGGAGCAACGCCGCGUGAGUGAUGAAGGUUUUCGGAUCGUAAAACUCUGUUGUAAGGGAAGAACAAGUACGUUAGGAAAUGAACGUUCCUUGACGGUACCUUAUUAGAAAGCCACGGCUGACUACGUGCCAGCACCCCCGGUAAUACGUAGGUGGCAAGCGUUGUCCGGAUUUAUUGGGCGUAAAGCGCGCGCAGGUGGUUUCUUAAGUCUGAUGUGAAAGCCCACGGCUCAACCGUGGACGGUCAUUGGAAACUGGGGAACUUGAGUGCAGAUUAGGAUAGUGGACUUCCAAGUGUAUCGGUGAAAUGCGUAGAGAUUUGGAGGAACACCAGUGCCGAACGCCGACUGUCUGGUCUGUUUUUGAGCCUCAGGCGCGAAAGCGUGGGGAGCAAACAGGAUUAGAUAUCCUGGUAGUCCACACCUUAACUAUUACAGCUAAACGAUAGGGGGUUUCCUCCCCUCAGUCU
Molecule: ribosomal RNA, 838 nt
Filed under: Kurthia gibsonii
Lineage: Bacteria; Bacillati; Bacillota; Bacilli; Caryophanales; Caryophanaceae
Description: bacterial SSU rRNA
Rfam family: Bacterial small subunit ribosomal RNA
Source: RNAcentral